This 73-nucleotide transfer RNA is filed under the name Actinomycetes bacterium. RNAcentral describes it as "Actinobacteria bacterium tRNA-Met". It matches the Rfam family "tRNA". From Rfam's summary of the family: Transfer RNA (tRNA) molecules are approximately 80 nucleotides in length. Their secondary structure includes four short double-helical elements and three loops (D, anti-codon, and T loops). Further hydrogen bonds mediate the characteristic L-shaped molecular structure. tRNAs have two regions of fundamental functional importance: the anti-codon, which is responsible for specific mRNA codon recognition, and the 3' end, to which the tRNAs corresponding amino acid is attached (by aminoacyl-tRNA synthetases). tRNAs cope with the degeneracy of the genetic code in two manners: having more than one tRNA (with a specific anti-codon) for a particular amino acid; and 'wobble' base-pairing, i.e. permitting non-standard base-pairing at the 3rd anti-codon position. Lineage: Bacteria; Bacillati; Actinomycetota; Actinomycetes. The record is from RNAcentral. RNAcentral also lists the same sequence under 5 other names.
GGCGGCGUAGCUCAGCGGUUAGAGCGGCGGACUCAUAACCCGCAGGUCGGUGGUUCGAAUCCACCCGCCGCUA